AGGACGAACGCUGGCGGCGUGCUUAACACAUGCAAGUCGAACGGAAAGGCCCGCUUGCGGGUACUCGAGUGGCGAACGGGUGAGUAACACGUGGGCAACCUGCCCUCAGCUUCGGGAUAACACUUGGAAACAGGUGCUAAUACCGGAUAAUAACUUUUCAUCGCAUGGUGGAUGGUUCAAAGUUUUUCGGCUGAGGAUGGGCCCGCGGCCUAUCAGCUUGUUGGUGGGGUAAUGGCCUACCAAGGCGACGACGGGUAGCCGGCCUGAGAGGGCGACCGGCCACACUGGGACUGAGACACGGCCCAGACUCCUACGGGAGGCAGCAGUGGGGAAUAUUGCGCAAUGGGCGGAAGCCUGACGCAGCGACGCCGCGUGAGGGAUGACGGCCUCGGUUGUAAACCUCUUCAGCUCUGACGAAGCGCAAGUGACGGUAGGAGCGAGAGAAGCGACCGGCCAACUACGUGCCAGCAGCCGC
Molecule: ribosomal RNA, 475 nt
Filed under: uncultured bacterium
Lineage: Bacteria
Description: SSU rRNA
Rfam family: Bacterial small subunit ribosomal RNA
Source: RNAcentral